This 2900-nucleotide ribosomal RNA is filed under the name Klebsiella pneumoniae. RNAcentral describes it as "bacterial LSU rRNA". It matches the Rfam family "Bacterial large subunit ribosomal RNA". Lineage: Bacteria; Pseudomonadati; Pseudomonadota; Gammaproteobacteria; Enterobacterales; Enterobacteriaceae. The record is from RNAcentral.
UUAAGCGACUAAGCGUACACGGUGGAUGCCCUGGCAGUCAGAGGCGAUGAAGGACGUGCUAAUCUGCGAAAAGCGUCGGUAAGGUGAUAUGAACCGUUAUAGCCGGCGAUGUCCGAAUGGGGAAACCCAGUGUGAUUCGUCACACUAUCGUUAACUGAAUACAUAGGUUAACGAGGCGAACCGGGGGAACUGAAACAUCUAAGUACCCCGAGGAAAAGAAAUCAACCGAGAUUCCCCCAGUAGCGGCGAGCGAACGGGGAGCAGCCCAGAGUCUGAAUCAGCUUGUGUGUUAGUGGAACGGUCUGGAAAGUCCGACGGUACAGGGUGAUAGUCCCGUACACCAAAAUGCACAGGCUGUGAACUCGAAGAGUAGGGCGGGACACGUGGUAUCCUGUCUGAAUAUGGGGGGACCAUCCUCCAAGGCUAAAUACUCCUGACUGACCGAUAGUGAACCAGUACCGUGAGGGAAAGGCGAAAAGAACCCCGGCGAGGGGAGUGAAAAAGAACCUGAAACCGUGUACGUACAAGCAGUGGGAGCACCUUCGGGUGUGACUGCGUACCUUUUGUAUAAUGGGUCAGCGACUUAUAUUCUGUAGCAAGGUUAACCGUAUAGGGGAGCCGCAGGGAAACCGAGUCUUAACUGGGCGUUAAGUUGCAGGGUAUAGACCCGAAACCCGGUGAUCUAGCCAUGGGCAGGUUGAAGGUUGGGUAACACUAACUGGAGGACCGAACCGACUAAUGUUGAAAAAUUAGCGGAUGACUUGUGGCUGGGGGUGAAAGGCCAAUCAAACCGGGAGAUAGCUGGUUCUCCCCGAAAGCUAUUUAGGUAGCGCCUCGUGAAUUCAUCUUCGGGGGUAGAGCACUGUUUCGGCUAGGGGGUCAUCCCGACUUACCAACCCGAUGCAAACUACGAAUACCGAAGAAUGUUAUCACGGGAGACACACGGCGGGUGCUAACGUCCGUCGUGAAGAGGGAAACAACCCAGACCGCCAGCUAAGGUCCCAAAGUCAUGGUUAAGUGGGAAACGAUGUGGGAAGGCACAGACAGCCAGGAUGUUGGCUUAGAAGCAGCCAUCAUUUAAAGAAAGCGUAAUAGCUCACUGGUCGAGUCGGCCUGCGCGGAAGAUGUAACGGGGCUAAACCAUGCACCGAAGCUGCGGCAGCGACACUAUGUGUUGUUGGGUAGGGGAGCGUUCUGUAAGCCUGCGAAGGUGUGCUGUGAGGCAUGCUGGAGGUAUCAGAAGUGCGAAUGCUGACAUAAGUAACGAUAAAGCGGGUGAAAAGCCCGCUCGCCGGAAGACCAAGGGUUCCUGUCCAACGUUAAUCGGGGCAGGGUGAGUCGACCCCUAAGGCGAGGCCGAAAGGCGUAGUCGAUGGGAAACAGGUUAAUAUUCCUGUACUUGGUGUUACUGCGAAGGGGGGACGGAGAAGGCUAUGUUAGCCGGGCGACGGUUGUCCCGGUUUAAGCAUGUAGGCUGGUUAUCCAGGCAAAUCCGGAUAAUCAAGGCUGAGGUGUGAUGACGAGGCACUACGGUGCUGAAGUAACAAAUGCCCUGCUUCCAGGAAAAGCCUCUAAGCAUCAGGUAACAUUAAAUCGUACCCCAAACCGACACAGGUGGUCAGGUAGAGAAUACCAAGGCGCUUGAGAGAACUCGGGUGAAGGAACUAGGCAAAAUGGUGCCGUAACUUCGGGAGAAGGCACGCUGGUGUGUAGGUGAAGUCCCUGCGGAUGGAGCUGAGACCAGUCGAAGAUACCAGCUGGCUGCAACUGUUUAUUAAAAACACAGCACUGUGCAAACACGAAAGUGGACGUAUACGGUGUGACGCCUGCCCGGUGCCGGAAGGUUAAUUGAUGGGGUUAUCCGUAAGGAGAAGCUCUUGAUCGAAGCCCCGGUAAACGGCGGCCGUAACUAUAACGGUCCUAAGGUAGCGAAAUUCCUUGUCGGGUAAGUUCCGACCUGCACGAAUGGCGUAAUGAUGGCCAGGCUGUCUCCACCCGAGACUCAGUGAAAUUGAACUCGCUGUGAAGAUGCAGUGUACCCGCGGCAAGACGGAAAGACCCCGUGAACCUUUACUAUAGCUUGACACUGAACAUUGAGCCUUGAUGUGUAGGAUAGGUGGGAGGCUUUGAAGCGUGGACGCCAGUCUGCGUGGAGCCAACCUUGAAAUACCACCCUUUAAUGUUUGAUGUUCUAACGUUGGCCCCUGACCGGGGUUGCGGACAGUGUCUGGUGGGUAGUUUGACUGGGGCGGUCUCCUCCCAAAGCGUAACGGAGGAGCACGAAGGUUAGCUAAUCCUGGUCGGACAUCAGGAGGUUAGUGCAAUGGCAUAAGCUAGCUUGACUGCGAGCGUGACGGCGCGAGCAGGUGCGAAAGCAGGUCAUAGUGAUCCGGUGGUUCUGAAUGGAAGGGCCAUCGCUCAACGGAUAAAAGGUACUCCGGGGAUAACAGGCUGAUACCGCCCAAGAGUUCAUAUCGACGGCGGUGUUUGGCACCUCGAUGUCGGCUCAUCACAUCCUGGGGCUGAAGUAGGUCCCAAGGGUAUGGCUGUUCGCCAUUUAAAGUGGUACGCGAGCUGGGUUUAGAACGUCGUGAGACAGUUCGGUCCCUAUCUGCCGUGGGCGCUGGAGAAUUGAGGGGGGCUGCUCCUAGUACGAGAGGACCGGAGUGGACGCAUCACUGGUGUUCGGGUUGUCAUGCCAAUGGCACUGCCCGGUAGCUAAAUGCGGAAGAGAUAAGUGCUGAAAGCAUCUAAGCACGAAACUUGCCCCGAGAUGAGUUCUCCCUGAGACUUUAAGUCUCCUGAAGGAACGUUAAAGACGAUGACGUUGAUAGGCCGGGUGUGUAAGCGCAGCGAUGCGUUGAGCUAACCGGUACUAAUGAACCGUGAGGCUUAACCUU